Molecule: ribosomal RNA, 809 nt
Filed under: uncultured bacterium
Lineage: Bacteria
Description: bacterial SSU rRNA
Rfam family: Bacterial small subunit ribosomal RNA
Source: RNAcentral
AACGGGUGAGUACACGUGGGUGAUCUGCCCUGCACUUUGGGAUAAGCCUGGGAAACUGGGUCUAAUACCGAAUAUGAUCACGGGCUUCAUGGUCUGUGGUGGAAAGCUUUUGCGGUGUGGGAUGGGCCCGCGGCNNNNNANCUUGUUGGUGGGGUAAUGGCCUACCAAGGCGACGACGGGUAGCCGGCCUGAGAGGGUGACCGGCCACACUGGGACUGAGAUACGGCCCAGACUCCUACGGGAGGCAGCAGUGGGGAAUAUUGCACAAUGGGCGCAAGCCUGAUGCAGCGACGCCGCGUGAGGGAUGACGGCCUUCGGGUUGUAAACCUCUUUCAGCACAGACGAAGCGCAAGUGACGGUAUGUGCAGAAGAAGGACCGGCCAACUACGUGCCAGCAGCCGCGGUAAUACGUAGGGUCCGAGCGUUGUCCGGAAUUACUGGGCGUAAAGAGCUCGUAGGUGGUUUGUCGCGUUGUUCGUGAAAACUCACAGCUUAACUGUGGGCGUGCGGGCGAUACGGGCAGACUGGAGUACUGCAGGGGAGACUGGAAUUCCUGGUGUAGCGGUGGAAUGCGCAGAUAUCAGGAGGAACACCGGUGGCGAAGGCGGGUCUCUGGGCAGUAACUGACGCUGAGGAGCGAAAGCGUGGGGAGCGAACAGGAUUAGAUACCCUGGUAGUCCACGCCGUAAACGGUGGGUACUAGGUGUGGGUUUCCUUCCUUGGGAUCCGUGCCGUAGCUAACGCAUUAAGUACCCCGCCUGGGGAGUACGGCCGNCAGGCUAAAACUCAAAGGAAUUGACGGGGGCCCG